CCUACGGGAGGCAGCAGUGAGGAAUAUUGGUCAAUGGCCGAGAGGCUGAACCAGCCAAGUCGCGUGAGGGAAGAAUGUCCUAUGGAUUGUAAACCUCUUUUGUCAGGGAGCAAAGUCACCCACGUGUGGGUGUUGGAGAGUACCUGAAGAAAAAGCAUCGGCUAACUCCGUGCCAGCAGCCGCGGUAAUACGUAGGGGGCAAGCGUUAUCCGGAUUUACUGGGUGUAAAGGGGGCGCAGACGGCGAUGCAAGCCAGGAGUGAAAGCCCGGGGCCCAACCCCGGGACUGCUCUUGGAACUGCGUGGCUGGAGUGCAGGAGGGGCAGGCGGAAUUCCUGGUGUAGCGGUGAAAUGCGUAGAUAUCAGGAGGAACACCGGUGGCGAAGGCGGCCUGCUGGACUGCAACUGACGUUGAGGCCCGAAAGCGUGGGGAGCAAACAGGAUUAGAUACCCCUGUAGUC
This 460-nucleotide ribosomal RNA is filed under the name uncultured bacterium. Its description in RNAcentral is "partial 16S ribosomal RNA". It matches the Rfam family "Bacterial small subunit ribosomal RNA", at positions 338 to 795 of the family's 1533-position model. The record is from RNAcentral.